UACAUAUUAUUGUACUGUUUGAUUAUUAUAUUAUUCACUUGAUCUUGAUGUUUGUUAAUCUUGAAUGUUUUUUCAAAUGUAUAACAUAUUUUGAUCUCUUUUAAAAAAGUGCAGCGCGGUUUGUCACAAUAAAAAAACCGGAAAUAGCUGCAACUGCAACUUCCUCUGCUAAGAAUAGCAUUGAGAACGAUGACUUUGAACUCUUUAGUGACAAUUUCAGGAUAAUUUUCAUUGUUUAACAAGCGAAAAAAUGAAUGUCAAAGAUCGUCAGAAAAUUGAUUUUUACUGCGAUAUUGCAGUACGUACAAUUAAUAUAAUGAAUUUGUGGCCCAAGUUAAUAGAAAAUAAAAUUUUUAACAUCGACGAUGUCAACAUAUCCACAUGGAAAAAAAAUUUUGACAAAGAAGAAACUGUUAAAAACAUUUGGUUAACAAUUAAAACUAGAGGACCUUCUGCAUUCCAAAAUCUACUUCUGAGUUUAAGACAAAGUAAUCAUGAAGAACUGGCAGAUCAGUUAGAUGAACACACAAAAAAUAGCUUUGAAUUCAAUAACGACAAUUAUUUUUCUGAGAUAUUAUCUACUGAGAAGCAUUUAUGGAUAAAUGUGAAAAAAAGUGAUAAAUUUGCAAAUAGUCCAUAUGAUCUUAUUAAAUGUUAUCAAAUGACAAGUAAUCCUCGUGGAUUAGUUUUAAUUAUUACAAAUAUUGAUUACAAAUCUGAUCUAGAAAAACCUAGGACGUCAGCGAUACACGAUCAAAUAAAUCUUUUCCAUUUGUUUCAUCAAAUGGGAUUUUCUAUUGAAAAGCAUUGCGAUUUGACAGGACAGGAAAUUAAAGAUUGCGUUAAAUCAUUUUCAAAACGUGAAGAAUUACAAUAUGUUGAUUCGUGUUUUAUAAUUGUCAGUAGUCAUGGCAGUGGUCCUGGCAGAAAGGGCGAAGAAUAUUGUACAGAAAUAAAAGGUGUAGAUGAUGAUUACAUGGAUCAUAUGUCACAUGAACAUACAAAAGUUUUUUGUUCAGACAUUAUAGAAUGUUUCACAUCCACAGCUUGUCCUUACUUGGCAGGAAAACCAAAAGUAUUUAUUUUUCAAUUAUGUCGAGGUACCAAAACACAAACCACAACAAUAAGGAAGACAAUGCCUAAACGGGUAACUGAUUCAUCUCAAUAUUAUGUACCUAAAAACAAUUCUGACUCAAGUUCUAAAAACGAAGGAACUAGGAAUUAUUCUGACAUGUUAAUUGCAUAUGCUACACUACCAGGACAUGUUGCCUUUCGUAAUGCUGUAACUGGUAGUUGGUUUAUACUAAUAUUUUGUGAAGUAUUUAUGAAUCAUGCUUGUGAACAUCAUAUAUGUGACUUAUUCAAAAUAGUAGAUUCACGACUGAGAAAAGUGACAUCAACUGAAAAUUAUUGUCAAACAGUAUCGGUUGAAUGCAAAGGUUUUUAUAAACAUUGUUACAUCAAUCCUGGAAUUUUUGAAGAGAAAGAAGAAAAAUAACAUAAGUGCACAGUAAUAUACCAGGAUUUAAUUAUCCCAGUUUUAUAUUUACAUACCUGAUCACCAGUUUUACCAUUGCUGUUAAUGAAGGCGAUGACCAAGUUUUAUAACUAAUCGGCGACAUUUAUGCUGUCAUAAGAGAUUAAAUUAUCUUCUGGUAACAAGAUGUACAGUGAAUAAGGAAAAGAGAGGUAUCACCGAGUAAUUUACAAAAUACCUUAUGGUUUCUCCAUGCAGGGAAUAAUAGAAAAUAAUAUUUUUGCUUUGAAAGAGCAAAUUUUGGAAGAAAUAGAAAUGUGUCAAAUGUUUUCGAGAUAUUUCAGCCUGAAUCAUGUUAUAGAAUUUGUAAUUUAAAAAGUAGUAGUAAAGUAGAUAUAUUCAUUGCAAUGAAAGUAGUAAUAGCAAUUACUUCGAGCAUUUAUUAUAAUAGUAUAAUAUAUAUAUAUAUAAAUCUUUUUUUUAUUAUAGAUAAUAACUUAGAUUUUUGAUAAACUAACUUAUGCAUUUAUAUUUUGAUAUUAAGUUGUAAAACAUAAGAAAAGUUACCUGUACAGUAUAAUGUUUCCUAUAAGAAGCAUAUAUAUAUAUAUAUAUAUAUUUUAUACGGAUUUGUAAAAGAAAAAGAUAAAUAAAAAAAAAAAAAAAUACUUUAUAUCUAUGAACAAUUUAAUCGUAAGCUUUUAUCUAUAUAAUGUUAUGCUUCAUUCGGUGAUUAAACUUAAUUGGCAUGUUCUUAUGCAUGACAAAUUUUCAAUUAUAAUUUUAAUAAAGAAACUUUGUUACGAGCAAUUUAUACGUUUUAACUAGCGCAAAUAAAAUCAACCAAACAAAUUGAUAUAUCAGUAGUUAGGAAUAGAAUGAAAUGACAUGCUUGUUAAAGCAUUAAAUUUGGAUGCAAUACGGUUCGACACAAAAUACAAUUUCAAAAAUGUAGUUACGACUUGAAAUUCAAACAAGUUUCUUGUGACGAUCAAUUUACGAGUGCUAGUUAUAAAAACAAAAUAUUCCAAUAUGUGGAAUUUGUUCUUUUCUAUUAUCUUUGUUCCUUUGAUUUUGUUAAUUAUUUCCCUAUCAAAUAAUGUCAAAUCAUUUCCAAUGAAUGACUCUCAAAAUAUAAAAUCAAAUACAACGGUUCAAACUACUAUUAGUUAUAGACUUGAUACUUGGUCACAAUAUGAUAAUCCUGAGGAAGGUACGCAUCAAGAGGGUGAUAUUAAAAUAUCAAAUACUCGAAAAACAUUUACAGCAUUUAAAGAUAAAUUGUGGCCAAAUGGAAUUGUGUACUACACUGUAGAUGAACUUAUUG
This 2804-nucleotide unclassified non-coding RNA is filed under the name Polistes dominula (European paper wasp). RNAcentral's name for it is "caspase-2-like, transcript variant X3". The record is from RNAcentral. Lineage: Eukaryota; Metazoa; Arthropoda; Insecta; Hymenoptera; Vespidae.